GAGCGUGUAGCUCAGGGGUAGAGCAUCUGCCUUUUAAGCAGAGGGUCGGUGGUUCGAGCCCACCCACGCUCA
RNAcentral lists this transfer RNA (72 nucleotides) under Bacteroidota bacterium. RNAcentral's name for it is "tRNA-Lys". It matches the Rfam family "tRNA". Rfam says of the family: Transfer RNA (tRNA) molecules are approximately 80 nucleotides in length. Their secondary structure includes four short double-helical elements and three loops (D, anti-codon, and T loops). RNAcentral also lists the same sequence under 4 other names. Lineage: Bacteria; Pseudomonadati; Bacteroidota. The record is from RNAcentral.